Molecule: ribosomal RNA, 460 nt
Filed under: uncultured bacterium
Lineage: Bacteria
Description: partial 16S ribosomal RNA
Rfam family: Bacterial small subunit ribosomal RNA
Source: RNAcentral
CCUACGGGCGGCAGCAGUGAGGAAUAUUGGUCAAUGGGCGCGAGCCUGAACCAGCCAAGUCGCGUGAGGGAGGACGGCCCUACGGGUUGUAAACCUCUUUUGCCGGGGAGCAACGGGCGUCACGUGUGGCGCCACUGAGAGUACCCGGAGAAAAAGCAUCAGCUAACGCCGUGCCAGCAGCCGCGGUAAUACGGAGGAUGCGAGCGUUAUCCGGAUUUAUUGGGUUUAAAGGGUGCGUAGGCGGAUCGUUAAGUCCGUGGAUAAAUUGAGGGGCUCAACCCCUUCCCGCCGUUGAAACUGGCGCUCUUGAGUGGAAGAGAGGUAUGCGGAAUGCGUGGUGUAGCGGUGAAAUGCAUAGAUAUCACGCAGAACCCCGAUGGCGAAGGCAGCAUGCCGGCUUCCGACUGACGCUGAGGCACGAAAGCGUGGGGAGCGAACAGGAUUAGAUACCCCUGUAGUC